This 26-nucleotide non-coding RNA is filed under the name Homo sapiens (human). Lineage: Eukaryota; Metazoa; Chordata; Mammalia; Primates; Hominidae. The record is from RNAcentral.
AUGGGGCAGAGAUAAAACUGGUGAGU